AUUAGAUAAAUUUCAAAUAGUUACAAACAAAAAGUUAAUGUUAAAUCUUUUUUGUACCACUGUUGUUCCAAAUCUUAGAAAAAAAAAGUUUAUUCAGUUGGUAUAAGGACAGACAUGCAAUUUGAAGACAACAUAUAUGUGUAAUUAAAAUGACGACGAAAAUAAGUUGUUUUGAAAACGAGUGCGUAGUGUUCCAGUUAUGACCUAGUUCUUGUGGUGGUCAAGUUUCAUUGCAUUAUAGACUGCUUUUAUGUGUAUCAAAAUUUAUUCAUUGGCUACCAUUGUGAAUAACUUGCAACGGACAAGUUCAUCUGAAACCUUUUUAUUAGAUAUUAAAACUAAUCAUUGACUUAUUGUGUCGCAGUUUUCCCAAUUGUAGAUAGUAAAGUUAAAGUCGUUCCUAGCAAACAAUCGUGCAUUCUGUUGGUUAAUUUGAUCUGCAUAGUAUCAGUGAGUAGUUGAGGGAUAUAACAAUAUAAACAUUCGCGAUAUUCUAAUCUGCAUCUGUUUCUCAUGCUGAAAUAUCGAUAUAUCGUUUUGCAUCACCUGCUAUUUGUGACCAACGUGUAUUUGUUCCUGCUGUCCAACAAUUCGCUCGUUCAAAGGCAACAAACGGAGGAUAGCGAAUCGCUACCGGAACCAACGCAAAUUCUGCUGAUCGAUCGUGUCAAUUGUGCUUUACAACGAAUCGCUAUACUCCGGGCUGAUCGUGAUCCGGCACAAGAUGCUAUACCGGAUCUACGCUUGCACGGGAAAUUGUAACAUACCGAAACCGAAUGAGGGGGAAGAUGCAUCAAACGGUGCGGUAUCGUCCCCCCUGGGCUACCGACCAACGUGUAAUUGUUCCUGCUGUCUGAAAAGUCGACCGGACUCGCUCGAUCAAGUACCAAACGGGAUACUGAGUCGCUACCGGAAGCGACACCAAUUCCGCUGAAAUCUAUCGUUUUUGUGUUACCACGAACCGCUAUACUCCGCGCUGAUCGUGCUCCGGAACGAAAUGCUACACCGGUUCUACGCUUGCAUGGGAAUUUUAAUCGUACCGAAACGGUGCCAUUAGGAGCCUUGAGGACAACCAUAACAACUGGGUGACUAAACAGAACAGCGGGACAUUAUGAUUUAGAGCAACACACCACCGUUCUAUGAAUCGUUGGGGUUUGCACCAUGCGAUGUAGAAUAAUAUAGUCAAUGAGACAAAAUAACUAAUCGAAUGAUUCACUGCGUAUAGUUUUUCUCAUGUUCCCAAUCUUCUAUUGGCAGACAGCCGCUUUAAAUAAUCGGUGCAACGUCGUAACAUUAUUUAGUGGAUUCUUGGUGGAAAUGUGGUGCUUCCUGCCGAUGUUGGUGACUCGAAGGCAAACUGAAUAAAAGGGCUCCAGAUUGAAACAGUUAAACAUAUAGGGUAGAUGAUUUAAUUUUUCUCAAACUAUUAGGGUGCUACACUAUGUUCCGAUGAAUAUACUGGAAGAGGUAGAGAUUUUGUGCGAAGUAGGGAUACCAAUUUUUUAUCCCAUAAUUUGAACAGCAGACGAUGUGUUCGGUUAGGUACAAUAAAUAGAUAGGCUACGAUGAUAUAAAGAGAUGUAACCCUCUCAGUGGGAGGCACGAUUCUCGAGAGUCUAAGAUAGAAUAUUUAUGCAAUUUCACCCGAUCGAAGUGAAUUAUAACUCUUACAGAAACAUGGACAAAUGUAUUGCGAAUGAAUAAAUUAUGUUUCUAAAGUAAA
Molecule: long non-coding RNA, 1723 nt
Organism: Topomyia yanbarensis
Lineage: Eukaryota; Metazoa; Arthropoda; Insecta; Diptera; Culicidae
Exons: 4
Source: RefSeq, a predicted model, not a curated record